This 73-nucleotide transfer RNA is filed under the name Octopus bimaculoides (California two-spot octopus). RNAcentral describes it as "transfer RNA methionine (anticodon CAU)". It matches the Rfam family "tRNA". From Rfam's summary of the family: Transfer RNA (tRNA) molecules are approximately 80 nucleotides in length. Their secondary structure includes four short double-helical elements and three loops (D, anti-codon, and T loops). Further hydrogen bonds mediate the characteristic L-shaped molecular structure. tRNAs have two regions of fundamental functional importance: the anti-codon, which is responsible for specific mRNA codon recognition, and the 3' end, to which the tRNAs corresponding amino acid is attached (by aminoacyl-tRNA synthetases). tRNAs cope with the degeneracy of the genetic code in two manners: having more than one tRNA (with a specific anti-codon) for a particular amino acid; and 'wobble' base-pairing, i.e. permitting non-standard base-pairing at the 3rd anti-codon position. Lineage: Eukaryota; Metazoa; Mollusca; Cephalopoda; Octopoda; Octopodidae. The record is from RNAcentral.
GCCUCGGUAGCGCAGUAGGAAGCGCGUCAGUUUCAUAAUCUGAAGGUCUUGAGUUCGAUCCUCACCUGGGGCA